Molecule: small nuclear RNA, 319 nt
Filed under: Castor canadensis (American beaver)
Lineage: Eukaryota; Metazoa; Chordata; Mammalia; Rodentia; Castoridae
Description: 7SK RNA (ENSCCNG00000001347.1)
Rfam family: 7SK RNA
About the family: 7SK was discovered as an abundant small nuclear RNA in the mid-70s but a possible function has only recently been suggested. Two independent studies have found that 7SK RNA binds the CDK9/cyclin T complex (known as elongation factor P-TEFb). P-TEFb activates transcription by phosphorylating the C-terminal domain of RNA polymerase II.
Source: Rfam by way of RNAcentral
GGAUGUGAGGGCAAUCUGGCUUCGACAUCUGUCACCCCAUUGAUCGCCAGGGUUGAUUUGACUCAUCUGGCUGGCUAGGCGGGUGUCCCCUUCCUCCCUCACAGUUCCAUGUGGGUCCCUCCCAAAGCUGUGCGCUCGGUGGAAGAGGACCACCAUCCCCAAUACAGGAGGACCGUUCUUCAGUCAAGGGUAUACAAGUAGCUGCGCUCCCCUGCUAGAACCUCCAUACAAGCUCUCAAGAGAGCUGCAAUAAACAUAGCUAUGCAGGGAUCUCCCUUGUAUAUUGAUUUACACUCCUUUGGAUAUAUGUCCAAGAGUG